GUGUCUUUCUCUCACUCUCUGUCAGCGCCAAGUCUUGUUUGAUCGCCCAGAAGGUCACGUCUCUCUCAGAUCAACUUCUUCGACGAGGAGUUCGUCGCUCGGAGAAGAGGAAUAACCCCCGACUCCACCUCGGGUGGAUCAGGCGAACAACGCCCCGAUCCAACCUCGAGCUGACCCAGUCAGGAAACCAUGUUGACGAUCUUGCGCACUCGGAUUGGACCAAGCCGUGCUAAUAACUCGGCCACGGCGUGAAGUUGCAUAGCUCAACUUAUUUAGCAAACAAGAUUUUGAUCAUUAUUAUAUAAAUACUAUAAUCAAAUCAAAUAUUUGAUUUAGGAAUCAACUUUUACUUCCUUA
Musa acuminata AAA Group (dessert banana) is the source of this 357-nucleotide long non-coding RNA. RefSeq lists it as uncharacterized. The transcript is spliced from 2 exons. Lineage: Eukaryota; Viridiplantae; Streptophyta; Magnoliopsida; Zingiberales; Musaceae. The record is from RefSeq and is a predicted model, not a curated record.